AGCGGAAAACGGUCUAUUUCUCC
This 23-nucleotide non-coding RNA is filed under the name Arabidopsis thaliana (thale cress). The record is from RNAcentral. Lineage: Eukaryota; Viridiplantae; Streptophyta; Magnoliopsida; Brassicales; Brassicaceae.